CACGUACACUCAGCUUUAAGCUUUUAGAAGGCAACAGCGGCGGUUACAACAUGACAGCUCCCGGGGGACCUUCGGUGUAACUGCAGAGAGCUCCUCAUGACUACAGAUUACCUCCUGCAGCAUCCCUUUUCAGAUUUAAAAAUAAGGCUUUUUUUCUGGAAACCCAAAUUGAAGGAAAACUUGGGGUUGAUGAAAUUAAACAGUCGCCCAUCUACCAUUUGUCUUCAUUGAUGCACAAAUCUCUAACUCUUCCAGCUUGGAGGGCUGAACUCUGGUAGCUUCCAGGUGUGGAUGUGGACUCAGAUGAACGCGAUCAGAUUUAAUGGAUGAGCAAUCACACUCAGUCAACUUUCAUGACUUUCAGCAGAAUUCUGUUUUCCCCUCUUAUAUAAUGUUGGCUGUUAUAUUCAUUCCAGUUGUUUCAAGUAAUGCAAAUAUGAGCUGAAGU
Molecule: long non-coding RNA, 448 nt
Organism: Gasterosteus aculeatus aculeatus (three-spined stickleback)
Lineage: Eukaryota; Metazoa; Chordata; Actinopteri; Perciformes; Gasterosteidae
Source: Ensembl